UACGUAGGGGGCAAGCGUUAUCCGGAUUUACUGGGUGUAAAGGGAGCGUAGACGGUAAGGCAAGUCUGAAGUGAAAUGCACGGGCUUAACCCGUGAACUGCUUUGGAAACUGUCUGACUAGAGUGCAGGAGGGGUAAGUGGAAUUCCUGGUGUAGCGGUGAAAUGCGUAGAUAUCAGGAGGAACACCGGUGGCGAAGGCGGCUUACUGGACUGUAACUGACGUUGAGGCUCGAAAGCGUGGGGAG
This 245-nucleotide ribosomal RNA is filed under the name uncultured Lachnospiraceae bacterium. Its description in RNAcentral is "partial 16S ribosomal RNA". It matches the Rfam family "Bacterial small subunit ribosomal RNA", at positions 524 to 768 of the family's 1533-position model. The record is from RNAcentral. Lineage: Bacteria; Bacillati; Bacillota; Clostridia; Lachnospirales; Lachnospiraceae.